GACGGCUCAUUAACACGUGGUUAACAUACCCUCAGGUGGGGGAUAACCUUGGGAAACUGAGGAUAAUACCCCAUAGAAAAAGCAGUCUGGAACGAUUCUUUUUCGAAAGCAUAUGCGCCUGAGGAUUGGACUGCGCUCGAUUAGGUAGUUGGUGGGGUAAUGGCCCACCAAGCCUACGAUCGGUACGGGCCUUGAGAGAGGAAGCCCGGAGAUGGGGACUGAGACACGGCCCCAGGCCCUACGGGGCGCAGCAGGCGCGAAACCUCCGCAAUGCACGAAAGUGCGACGGGGGGAUCCCAAGUGCUCAUGCACAGCAUGGGCUUUUAUCAAGUGUAAACAGCUUGAGGAAUAAGGGCUGGGCAAGUUCGGUGCCAGCAGCCGCGGUAACACCGACGGCCCGAGUGGUGGCCACUUUUAUUGGGCCUAAAGCGUCCGUAGCCGGUCCAGUAAGUCCUUGUUUAAAUCCUGCGGCUUAACCGCAGGACUGGCAGGGAUACUGCUGGACUUGGGACCGGGAGAGGACAAGGGUACUUCAGGGGUAGCGGUGAAAUGUGUUGAUCCUUGAAGGACCACCUAUGGCGAAGGCACUUGUCUGGAACG
This 600-nucleotide ribosomal RNA is filed under the name uncultured archaeon. RNAcentral's name for it is "bacterial SSU rRNA". It matches the Rfam family "Archaeal small subunit ribosomal RNA", at positions 83 to 687 of the family's 1478-position model. The record is from RNAcentral.